RNAcentral lists this ribosomal RNA (467 nucleotides) under uncultured archaeon. RNAcentral's name for it is "bacterial SSU rRNA". It matches the Rfam family "Archaeal small subunit ribosomal RNA", at positions 1 to 474 of the family's 1478-position model. The record is from RNAcentral.
UUCCGGUUGAUCCCGCCAGACCUGACUGCUAUCGGAUUGAUACUAAGCCAUGCGAGUCUUUGUAGUAAUACAAGGCAGACGGCUCAGUAACACGUAGUCAACCUACCCUAUGGACGAGAAUAACCUCGGGAAACUGAGCAUAAUUCUUGAUAGAUCAUAAUGCCUGGAAUGGUUUAUGGUUAAAAUGAUUCGUCGCCAUAGGAUGGGACUGCGGCCUAUCAGCUUGUUGGUGAGGUAAUGGCCCACCAAGGCGAUUACAGGUACGGGCUCUGAGAGGAGAAGCCCGGAGAUGGGUACUGAGACACGGACCCAGGCCCUAUGGGGCGCAGCAGGCGAGAAAACUUUGCAAUGUGCGAAAGCACGACAAGGUUAAUCCGAGUGAUUUCUGCUAAAGAAAUCUUUUGCCAGUCGUAAAACCGAUGGUGAAUAAGGGGUGGGCAAGUUCUGGUGCCAGCAGCCGCGGUAAU